GGAGGGUGCGUCUCAGGUCGGUGACUUCGGACUUGCUGCUCUGGAGUUGUUCGGUGUUGACAGCUACUUCACGGUUCAGCUCUUCGGUCUGAAACCGGAAAACACCACGUGAGAAAUAUGGGGCUUCUAAGUAGAGCAUGGACCUUCUUCUACCUUGUUGUUGAACCAGGCUUCAGCAUCCUUCCUGUUCUUCUCGGCCAUGUGUUCAUACUGGUCUCUCAUUUCAGCCAGGAUCUUGGUCAGGUCGAUGCCUGGAGCAGAAUCCAGUUCAACGUUGACCUGACCAGUCACUUGACCUCCCAGGGCACUCAUUUCCUAUGUGGACAGGGCAGAGGAACACAAAAAAGGCUACUGGCUUUUGGCUCAACAAGGACUUUUGCCUGCUCAAGGGACCUUUUUCCUUUCAGGAAUUACCCACUUGGUUUUGAAGUCGUCAGCAGCCAGCCGGGCAUUGUCAAUCUGCAGGACAAUCCUGGAGUUGUCGAUAGUGGCAUCAAGGAUCUACAAACAAGGAGAGUUCAUUGCUGAGGCUGAUACGACUAUUAUCUUCUUUCAUGAGCUGAAGAUAAAAGAGUUAAGAUUCUUUUUCAUCUGUAGCUGCAUCAAUUAAAAGUGUAUUUUAUUUGGUUCUCAGUAGGGAAGGGAAAAAAAUACUAAAAGGAGAAAAUCUAAUUGCUGGUUCUGCCUUUACUGGAGCUCAGUUUUUCCGAUCAGUAGAGAAUGUGAAUGGGUUGAAUGAGGAGACAGUAAAUGCAUGGGAGCGGUUGUGAACUCCGAGCUGAACUGUGAAAACUGAACCUCAAGUUUUCUUUCAUUGAUUUACAUGGUUUAAUCAGCUCCUACGGAUGUGCUCCGGGGUGUGUAUCAUCCCAAAGUGAUCUGUUAUCAGGUACCACUGGGGCAAAUCUGCAUUAAUAGAUGGGAUUGAUUACUUCACGUCUGCGCUUCCUUCUUCCAGAAGCCAAAUGUUUAAUCACUUUUAUUUUGAUACCAACAUCAAGUAAAUGAAACAUA
This is a long non-coding RNA of Columba livia (rock pigeon), 1014 nucleotides long. RefSeq lists it as uncharacterized. The record is from RefSeq and is a predicted model, not a curated record. The transcript has 3 exons. Lineage: Eukaryota; Metazoa; Chordata; Aves; Columbiformes; Columbidae.